RNAcentral lists this long non-coding RNA (474 nucleotides) under Prunus persica (peach). RNAcentral describes it as "long non-coding RNA (PPER_LNC000636)". Lineage: Eukaryota; Viridiplantae; Streptophyta; Magnoliopsida; Rosales; Rosaceae. The record is from RNAcentral.
AGGAGCUGGGUCCAAUCCAAUUCUUCUUUAGAAAUUCACCGACCUUCUUGGUGACGAAUUACCAUUUAAUUGGCAAUUUGAUUUAUUUAUUUUUGUUUUUCUUAAAAACUUUGCUAUUCUUAAAAAACGUGGGCCUCUUAUGUUGAUUGGGCUGCUUUUCAGAGUCAAGGCCCAGUCUCUUGUUUUUUUUUUGUUUUGUUUUGUGGGCCUCUUUGUGAGAAUAGGCCGGCGCGUGGAUUUCUCUUUGGCCCAAACAAAUAUCGACGAUAAUAUUGGAAAAUAUCGACGAUGAUAUUGAAAAAUAUCGAUGUCGAUAAUUUCUCUCACACUUCAGCAACAUUUGACUAAAAUAUCGCUAUAAUAUCGAUAAUAUCGAGAUGAUGAAGACAAUGAAAAAUUUGAAGAGUUAUUUACACUAACAUCCCCUGAGGUUUCUUGUUUUUCACAAAACCCUUCUCAUGUCUCCAAAAUUAC